This 492-nucleotide ribosomal RNA is filed under the name uncultured bacterium. RNAcentral describes it as "partial 16S ribosomal RNA". It matches the Rfam family "Bacterial small subunit ribosomal RNA", at positions 29 to 507 of the family's 1533-position model. The record is from RNAcentral.
AGUGAACGCUGGCGGUAGGCCUAACACAUGCAAGUCGAACGGCAGCACAGUAAGAGCUUGCUCUUACGGGUGGCGAGUGGCGGACGGGUGAGGAAUACAUCGGAAUCUACUUUUUCGUGGGGGAUAACGUAGGGAAACUUACGCUAAUACCGCAUACGACCUACGGGUGAAAGCAGGGGAUCUUCGGACCUUGCGCGAUUGAAUGAGCCGAUGUCGGAUUAGCUAGUUGGCGGGGUAAAGGCACACCAAGGCGACGAUCCGUAGCUGGUCUGAGAGGAUGAUCAGCCACACUGGAACUGAGACACGGUCCAGACUCCUACGGGAGGCAGCAGUGGGGGAUAUUGGACAAUGGGCGCAAGCCUGAUCCAGCCAUACCGCGUGGGUGAAGAAGGCCUUCGGGUUGUAAAGCCCUUUUGUUGGGAAAGAAAAGCAGCAGGUUAAUACCCCGCUGUUCUGACGGUACCCAAAGAAUAAGCACCGGCUAACUUCGUG